GUAAUAUAUAAAUUUUUUGAGGCCCUUCUAAUUCGGAGGCCCAUGGCCGUCGCCCUCGGCGCCCAGGCCCAGGGCCGGCCCUGUUUGUAUUAGUUGUAUCCAUCAUGUACCACUUUGUAUUGUCUCUUAGUUUAUUAUUAUCAAUCUUGUAUAAAUACCUCAUAUAUGGAGAUGAAUAAAUCAAGCAAAACAUCAUUCAAUCAUCAAAUCUUUCAAUAAUUCUACUUUAACUCAAAACAUUUAUCACAAUGAAAUCUUGUAAAAUAUACUGAAAACAGUGAGAAAAAACUUCGAUUUUAAUUAAUGGUUUCUUAUUCAGAACAAUGACCUUAUAAAGGAUGCAAAAUGUGGUACACAUAGAUGCUAUGAUUAUUUACUUUGUUUAUCAAAUAUUUUGUCACAUCAUUAAUAUGUUGUUUGUUACCAUGUUGAUUUGUUUUAUUAGCAUGCAGCAUAUCCUGAUAUGGAUGCAUCUACCUCAUUCUUUGGUGUUUAUGAUGGGCAUGGAGGCAAUAUAGUUGCUAAGUUUUGUGCGAAGUAUCUUCACCGACAAGUCCUCAAGAAUGAAGCAUAUGUGGCCGGAGAUAUAGGAACUGCUGUUCAAAAA
This is a non-coding RNA of Prunus avium (sweet cherry), 607 nucleotides long. The record is from RefSeq and is a predicted model, not a curated record. Lineage: Eukaryota; Viridiplantae; Streptophyta; Magnoliopsida; Rosales; Rosaceae.